This 976-nucleotide ribosomal RNA is filed under the name uncultured bacterium. RNAcentral describes it as "bacterial SSU rRNA". It matches the Rfam family "Bacterial small subunit ribosomal RNA", at positions 8 to 1001 of the family's 1533-position model. The record is from RNAcentral.
AGAGUUUGAUCCUGGCUCAGAAUGAACGUUGGCGGCGUGGAUUAGGCAUGCAAGUCGUACGGUAAGCUUCGGCUUAUAGUGGCGAAAGGGAGAGUAACGCGUGGUUACAUGCCCUCGGGACCGGGAUAGCGGCGGGAAACUGCCGGUAAUACCGGAUAAUAUCUUUGGAUCAAAGGUGUGAUUCCGCCCGAGGAUUGGACCGCGUUCUAUUAGCUUGUUGGCGGGGUAAUGGCCCACCAAGGCGACGAUGGAUACCGGGUGUGAGAGCAUGGCCCGGCUCACUGGGACUGAGACACUGCCCAGACACCUACGGGUGGCUGCAGUCGAGAAUCUUCGGCAAUGGGGGCAACCCUGACCGAGCGACGCCGCGUGCGGGACGAAGGCCUUCGGGUUGUAAACCGCUGUCAGUUGGGAGGAAGUGCCGGGGGGUUCUCCCCUCGGUUUGACCGAUCUUCAGAGGAAGGACGGGCUAAGUUCGUGCCAGCAGCCGCGGUAAGGCGAACCGUCCAAACGUUAUUCGGUAUCACUGGGCUUAAAGCGUGCGUAGGCGGCCUGGUAGGUGAGGUGUGAAAGCCCACGGCUCAACCGUGGAAUUGCGCUUCAAACCACCAGGCUGGAGGAUGGCAGGGGUGAUGGGAACUGAUGGUGGAGCGGUGAAAUGCGUUGAUAUCAUCAGGAACACCGGUGGCGAAGGCGCAUCACUGGGCCAUUUCUGACGCUGAGGCACGAAAGCUAGGGUAGCGAACGGGAUUAGAUACCCCGGUAGUCCUAGCUGUAAACGAUGAGCACUGGGUUGAGGGGACCUCCACAUCUUCUCGGCCGUAGCGAAAGCGUUAAGUGCUCCGCCUGGGGAGUAUGGCCGCAAGGCUGAAACUCAAAGGAAUUGACGGGGGCUCACACAAGCGGUGGAGGAUGUGGCUUAAUUCGAGGCUACGCGAAGAACCUUAUCCUAGACUUGACAUGCUUAAGAAUCUUC